CAUGGGAAAUUCUUUGGCCUUGUUUUGGCAAUGCUUUAAGAUACUGUUUAGAGCUCUCCAUUUUGAAAAAUAUUUAAUAUUAUGGACUUGUUUGGCAAACUAUACGAAUUAACUGUUUUUUACAAUGUUCUUGUCUUUGCUUCAAAAUGAUUUUUGGUUGUUUUUGCUUUUGUUCAAAGAGACAAAUGCAAAAAGAUGAAUGUGGAAACCAUCAUCUGACAUAUAUUCUAUAAAUGUUUCUUCUCCACUUAAAAAUGCUAAAACGGUUCUUGUUUUUGGUUCUGAAAAAUCAUUUGCUAAAGAGAAAUUUCCAAGUCCACCUUUUGGUAAAGCACUAUCUUCUUGGUUUGUCAUGGGCUUGUUGAGAAAGUAGAUCAAAGUAAAAGCAUUUGGUUUAGAAAACCUUUUGUGGAGUCUCAGCAAAAAUGCGGUGAAGGGUAGAUUGUGGUAGAUGCUUGGCCAAUUGAUUAUACUCUGUAGUGCAGAUGAUAAAAAUGGUCACUUUACCCCUUUCACUUAAUUUCCAUGUAUAGAAUGGUCCCUUUUUCUUUAAUAGUGCCACUUGGGCAUCCUUUGACUUAGAUGCCCCUGGACUUGCUUUGUAACUGGGGUAAGUUUUGCAAUGCUCCAUGUAUGAUGAGUUGUGAAAACAUUGGAAAUGGGAAUAUUAAAGGCUUUAUGAGCAUGUUUAUUGUAAUCCUAAGGCAUGUUACUAAUCCGGGGCUAUUAAGAUGUGGCAGCGUUUCAGUGUGCCAUCUCUAAAUAUGGAGCACAUAUUUCAUAAAUCCAAUUCAACUUCUUGUCUGAACUUACUGGUGAAUUAGUUUCUAGCUGAUCUUGAUGUCAUAGAAGGGUAUUAACUUAUUCUUUGGCCUUGCUAUAUGUUGUAGCUGAGUUGUUUGUGAAUGGAGAGAUUGUUCAAAGAUCACCUGAGAGGCAGAGGAGAGUGGAGCCGC
RNAcentral lists this long non-coding RNA (956 nucleotides) under Eucalyptus grandis. RNAcentral describes it as "long non-coding RNA (EGRA_LNC005002)". The record is from RNAcentral. Lineage: Eukaryota; Viridiplantae; Streptophyta; Magnoliopsida; Myrtales; Myrtaceae.